RNAcentral lists this ribosomal RNA (478 nucleotides) under uncultured Pseudomonadota bacterium. RNAcentral's name for it is "bacterial SSU rRNA". It matches the Rfam family "Bacterial small subunit ribosomal RNA", at positions 355 to 851 of the family's 1533-position model. The record is from RNAcentral. Lineage: Bacteria; Pseudomonadati; Pseudomonadota.
UGGGGAAUCUUGCGCAAUGGGCGAAAGCCUGACGCAGCCAUGCCGCGUGUAUGAUGAAGGUCUUAGGAUUGUAAAAUACUUUCACCGGGGAAGAUAAUGACGGUACCCGGAGAAGAAGCCCCGGCUAACUUCGUGCCAGCAGCCGCGGUAAUACGAAGGGGGCUAGCGUUGCUCGGAAUUACUGGGCGUAAAGGGCGCGUAGGCGGACAGUUUAGUCAGAGGUGAAGGCCCAGGGCUCAACCUUGGAAUUGCCUUUGAUACUGGCUGUCUUGAGUUCGGGAGAGGUGAGUGGAAUGCCGAGUGUAGAGGUGAAAUUCGUAGAUAUUCGGCGGAACACCAGUGGCGAAGGCGACUCACUGGCCCGAUACUGACGCUGAGGCGCGAAAGCGUGGGGAGCAAACAGGAUUAGAUACCCUGGUAGUCCACGCUGUAAACGAUGAGUGCUAGUUGUCGGCAUGCAUGCAUGUCGGUGACGCAG